AAUCCUGUCUUCUAACUUUUUGAAAUAUACUAGCUGGGUGUGGUGGCGUGCUGAGUCCCAGCUACCCAGGAGGCUGAGACAGGAGGAACACUUAAGCCCGGGAGUUUGCAGCUAUAGUGAGCUAUGAUCACACUUGUGAAUAGCUGUUGCACUUCGGCCUUAGCAACAGAGUAAGACCCAUCUCAAAAAGGAGAAAAUAUACAGUAAGCUAUUGUGUAUCCACCCUUCAGUGCAGCAAAACUACUGAAUUCAUUCCUCCUAUGUAGCUGUAAUUUUGUAUCUGUUAACCAACAUCUACCUCGCCUUUUCUCCCUGCUACCAU
Molecule: long non-coding RNA, 322 nt
Filed under: Homo sapiens (human)
Lineage: Eukaryota; Metazoa; Chordata; Mammalia; Primates; Hominidae
Description: non-protein coding lnc-SEMA5A-4:2
Source: RNAcentral